CCACAUCAUGUUGAAUCACCAGUUCCUGUAUGAUCACCGAAGUUAAACAAUGUCAAGCCUGGUCAGUACCUAGAUGAGUGACCGCUUAGGAAUAUCAGGUGCUGUAA
Non-coding RNA from Acanthosepion pharaonis, 107 nucleotides. The record is from the annotation of a GenBank genome assembly. Lineage: Eukaryota; Metazoa; Mollusca; Cephalopoda; Sepiida; Sepiidae.